AGGAAAGAGAGGGAUUCGAACCCUCGGUAA
Molecule: transfer RNA, 30 nt
Filed under: Bryobrittonia longipes
Lineage: Eukaryota; Viridiplantae; Streptophyta; Bryopsida; Encalyptales; Encalyptaceae
Description: partial tRNA-Ser
Source: RNAcentral